Molecule: long non-coding RNA, 1032 nt
Organism: Pogonomyrmex barbatus (red harvester ant)
Lineage: Eukaryota; Metazoa; Arthropoda; Insecta; Hymenoptera; Formicidae
Source: RefSeq, a predicted model, not a curated record
GAGAUUUCUUCGUUGAGAGCUAUUCUCUGUUUAAAUUUAAUCUUCUUCUCUCUUAUGAGAUCAGCAUAUAUCAUUGAAAUGAAUUCACUGUUUGUAUUUUUGACCUAUUUGUAUUAAUUUGUAUCUCGAAGAGAUAAAAAUUAGCACAAAUGCAAUAACAUAACGUAUCGAAGUUUGCAUAAUAUUAAGCAUAUUAAAUAAUAAAGAAAGUUGCUGACAUUUCGAAAUAAUAUACAUAUCAUCGUAUUUUUGAUGAUCUCUUCGAGAUAAAAAUUAGCACAGAUAGGUCAAAAAUACAAUGAUAUGUACAUUAUUCCGAAAUGUCAGCAACUUUCUUUAUUAUUCAAUAUGACAAAGUUCGAUACGUUAUUGCAUGUAAUUUACUAUGCAAAAUCAAUAUGGCAUAUUGAUCGCAUUCAAGUUGCUUUUCCAUCGAUCUUGUCACCUCAUCCUGUAUGAACAUAAUCGAGAAAAACUCGGUUAAAUACAAUCAUUUGUCACUCCAAUUUGUGAUCGCUCGCAGGAUACUGUCGAUAUACGUUAGAAUGCAUAGAAAAAUGCAACGAGUCGUGAUAUGACGUAAAUGUAGCAACAUAUGCGCUUCCGUACCGUGAGUAAAUCCAAACAUCGUGAGCAAACACACAAACAUAUCGUAACCAUUACGUUACCUUAAUUGAAGUACUGCAAUGAUCGUUUGGCACUCCAUUUCGCACCCCUCCUCUUCCUAUCCCUGCACGAUUACUCCGCGUUUGUAAAAUAAAUAUAAACAAAGCGAAAUAUAUAUUACGGAAAUCACUUCAUUAAAAAUCAUCACUUUGCAAUAGGAUAUUUAACCAAAAAUUAUAUGUCAUACGUGCAUGUUUAUCGGCGUACGAUCGGAUGUAGAAAAGAAGAAUUUCGAAGUUUGAGAGUCCAGAUUAUAUCAUUCGUGCUGCAUUAAGCAAAAUACGAUUUAAAAGUUUUAUCUGAAUAUCUUUUUUUCGGUCGCGUUAUGCAUAUUCUACUAUUUUGAAAUAUUAUUCCAAUUACCCA